GGGCUCGUAGCUCAGUGGCAGAGCGGGCGGCUCAUAACCGUCUGGUCGCAGGUUCGAAUCCUGCCGAGCCCA
Molecule: transfer RNA, 72 nt
Filed under: subsurface metagenome
Description: tRNA-Met
Rfam family: tRNA
About the family: Transfer RNA (tRNA) molecules are approximately 80 nucleotides in length.
Source: RNAcentral